GUCGGCAAACAAAUGUUACAGGUCAAUAACGUACAUGUAUUGCAGUAAUACGUAAAUUUUUCUCCGUGUUGUUUACAAAUGAGCGUUUUUACUUCCGUAUUUGUAAUGUUGGCAUCUUGAAAGACAUGAUUCCUGCAUGAUUUAGUUUUUAAAUGUGAUAUUUCACACAACUUACAGAAACAUUGUUCGCAGUCUUUACAAUACCUGCUUUCAGAAGAAUUUUCACAGAUUUCACAUGAUCUAACAGGAGACUGAGCCAUUAUUAUA
RNAcentral lists this long non-coding RNA (267 nucleotides) under Mytilus galloprovincialis (Mediterranean mussel). The record is from RNAcentral. Lineage: Eukaryota; Metazoa; Mollusca; Bivalvia; Mytilida; Mytilidae.